AAAAAAAAAAAAAAAAGAAAAAAACAAAAGAAAGCCAAUCACCGAAUUUCCCAAAAGAAGAAAACAAGAAAUUUUGAAUGAAAAUCUAAAGAAGCAAUGCCAAACGACAACAGAUCUGAAGAGAAGGUUUGUAGUGUAGUCUUGCUGCCAUGUUUAUCUUCAAAUUUUGCAUAGGCAUGCAUUCAUAUAUAGUUAAUGUUAGAGUGUAAGAAAGAAUUUGGAAAUUGAAGAGAGAGAGGGAGGCUUGAACCAGAUUAAUAGAGGAAUCUAGCAAGUCCAGAGUCACCAUUUGCGUACGCUUCUCUGUACGUGUGUGUGUGUGUGCUGGUUGAGAGAGAGAGGAGGAGAAGUGGAGAGUCAAUAAACACAGUGUGACUUCCACGGGCAAUUUGGUAUUUUG
This 400-nucleotide unclassified non-coding RNA is filed under the name Hevea brasiliensis (rubber tree). Lineage: Eukaryota; Viridiplantae; Streptophyta; Magnoliopsida; Malpighiales; Euphorbiaceae. The record is from RNAcentral.